This is a long non-coding RNA of Anoplopoma fimbria (sablefish), 419 nucleotides long. RefSeq lists it as uncharacterized. The transcript has 3 exons. Lineage: Eukaryota; Metazoa; Chordata; Actinopteri; Perciformes; Anoplopomatidae. The record is from RefSeq and is a predicted model, not a curated record.
CACAUGACUUUGCCUUAAAAACUACAAGUCCCACAAUGCACCACCGGCAGGCCAGUGCAGGCUGCUCAUUACCCUUUUAAGUUGGAACACCUGUGAAUGGAAGGUCUCUCAGCAAACAUAUCAGCAGAGAGAGCAACAAACAAAGGAUUCAACUCGUGGUACAACCAAAGGAGCCACUGGUUUUCAACCUGAUAGACCAACCACUCAUCAAGAAGAAACAAAUAAGGAAAAAAUAAAAUAAAAAUUGAGCUGUGUUGGAAAGAGUUGUCCCGUGCGUCCUUUGGGGUUCAUGUACCAGGCCAUUUCAAGUUGGGCAAGAGUUGAAAAACACCUAGGAACUUGACAAUAGUCAAGUGCCUUAUACAUUUGCAGAUCAAUGGACACCUGUACUCACCUGCUGUGUUUUCCACCUCUCCGGC